RNAcentral lists this transfer RNA (73 nucleotides) under Felis catus (domestic cat). It matches the Rfam family "tRNA". From Rfam's summary of the family: Transfer RNA (tRNA) molecules are approximately 80 nucleotides in length. Lineage: Eukaryota; Metazoa; Chordata; Mammalia; Carnivora; Felidae. The record is from Rfam by way of RNAcentral.
ACCUGGCUGGCUCAGUCAGUAGAGCAUGAGACUCUUGAUUUUGGGGUCGUAAGUUCGAGCCCCAUGCUGGGGA